AGUGAACGCUGGCGGUAGGCCUAACACAUGCAAGUCGAACGAGUGGCGGACGCGUGAGGAAUACAUCGGAAUCUACUCUGUCGUGUGGGAUAACGUAGGGAAACUUACGCUAAUACCGCGUACGAUUGCAUGAGCCGAUAGCGGAUUAGCUAGUUGGCGGGGUAAAGGCUCACCAAGGAGACGAGCCGUAGCGGGUCUGAGAGGAUGACCAGCCACAAUGGAACUGAAACACGGUCAAGACUCCUACGGGAGGCAGCAGUGGGGAAUAGUGGACAAUGGGCGCAAGCCUGAUCCAGCCAUACCGCGUGGGUGAAAAAGGCCUUCGGGAUGUAAAGCCCUUUUAUUGGGAAAGCGGUACCCAAAGCAGAAGCACCGGCUAACUACGUGCCCGCAGCCGCGGUAAUUC
This 406-nucleotide ribosomal RNA is filed under the name uncultured bacterium. RNAcentral describes it as "partial 16S ribosomal RNA". It matches the Rfam family "Bacterial small subunit ribosomal RNA", at positions 29 to 526 of the family's 1533-position model. The record is from RNAcentral.